UUUUAAAAUGAGAGUUUGAUCCUGGCUCAGGACGAACGCUGGCGGCGUGCCUAAUACAUGCAAGUCGAGCGAGCGAAACUAACAGAUUUACUUCGG
This 96-nucleotide ribosomal RNA is filed under the name Lactobacillus crispatus. RNAcentral's name for it is "partial 16S ribosomal RNA". It matches the Rfam family "Bacterial small subunit ribosomal RNA", at positions 1 to 96 of the family's 1533-position model. Lineage: Bacteria; Bacillati; Bacillota; Bacilli; Lactobacillales; Lactobacillaceae. The record is from RNAcentral.